CUGAAGCUUGGUGCUUGCACUGGGUGGAUGAGUGGCGAACGGGUGAGUAAUACGUGAGUAACCUGCCCUUGACUCUGGGAUAAGCCUGGGAAACUGGGUCUAAUACUGGAUACGACAUGUCACCGCAUGGUGGUGUGUGGAAAGGGUUUUACUGGUUUUGGAUGGGCUCACGGCCUAUCAGCUUGUUGGUGGGGUAAUGGCUCACCAAGGCGACGACGGGUAGCCGGCCUGAGAGGGUGACCGGCCACACUGGGACUGAGACACGGCCCAGACUCCUACGGGAGGCAGCAGUGGGGAAUAUUGCACAAUGGGCGAAAGCCUGAUGCAGCGACGCCGCGUGAGGGAUGACGGCCUUCGGGUUGUAAACCUCUUUCAGCACGGAAGAAGCGAAAGUGACGGUACGUGCAGAAGAAGCGCCGGCUAACUACGUGCCAGCAGCCGCGGUAAUACGUAGGGCGCAAGCGUUGUCCGGAAUUAUUGGGCGUAAAGAGCUCGUAGGCGGUUUGUCGCGUCUGCUGUGAAAGCCCGGGGCUUAACCCCGGGUGUGCAGUGGGUACGGGCAGACUUGAGUGCAGUAGGGGAGACUGGAAUUCCUGGUGUAGCGGUGAAAUGCGCAGAUAUCAGGAGGAACACCGAUGGCGAAGGCAGGUCUCUGGGCUGUUACUGACGCUGAGGAGCGAAAGCAUGGGGAGCGAACAGGAUUAGAUACCCUGGUAGUCCAUGCCGUAAACGUUGGGCACUA
Molecule: ribosomal RNA, 742 nt
Filed under: Arthrobacter sp.
Lineage: Bacteria; Bacillati; Actinomycetota; Actinomycetes; Micrococcales; Micrococcaceae
Description: bacterial SSU rRNA
Rfam family: Bacterial small subunit ribosomal RNA
Source: RNAcentral